Molecule: non-coding RNA, 121 nt
Organism: Picea glauca (white spruce)
Lineage: Eukaryota; Viridiplantae; Streptophyta; Pinopsida; Pinales; Pinaceae
Source: Rfam
ACAUGCCUACAGCAUAGCGUUAAUGCAUCGGAUCCCAUUAGAACUCUACAGUUAAGCGUGCUCAGGCUAGAGUAGUACUGGGAUGGGUGACCUCCCGGGAAGUCUUAAUGUUUUACAUGCC